AGCUAUCAAUGGUAAACAAUAGGUUCUUGUACUUACAGACGAUGGUGUCUUUCAGAUGUGUAUUUUUUAUUGCCGUUUUCUCUCCUCUGCCACACCAGUUCAGCUGCACAGCUAGCUGAGGAGCGAACACCUUCCCACAAAUCCGCCAGACAGUUUUUUUAAGCGUUUGCCCCCCAGCCAGUGACAGUUUUGACACCUGUAAUUGACAAAAAUGUUUGGUGAGUCAUGUGAACAUGCUACAAUUUCUACAUUCAAUUGACCUGUACACCAUACAUUUACAGUAUACAUUUUUGGUAAGGUUUUGGAAAUUUGGGAAGAUAAAAAUAAAAUCGACUACCAUUCUUUGCCUGAAGCUCAUGUUUUGAAGGUGGAUUUCCAUGUCUUUCAAGGCCUGGAUGCUUUCCAGCGGGAGUCCAUCAUCCUCCCCUGCAUCUACUGGUGCCAGUGGAGUCUGUCCCAGGCUGUUGUUCCCCCAAAAAGGUGCUCUCUGGGUAACAACUGCAGUUAGAUGCUGGACCUGGACCUGCAGUUCCCCCAGCAUAUCUAAGAUGGCCCGCUCAGCUGCUGGAAAGACACACAAGACAUUACGGUUGAUAGCGGGACUUGAUGGAGAAAUUGGCUGUGUGACAUCACUGAAAGCAAAUAGCCAAGCAGCCUGAAUGCUUCCCUGGUAGGACUGGACCUUUGACAUCACUGAGAAAAAGGAAAUUGUUAUUUACACAGUUGUUCUUUAGAGGCCUUACCUUUUUGUCUUGGUUCUGAGGGCUCAUCUGGCCAGUACCCUGGGAUAUCAUCUGUAUGGAAGCUCU
Molecule: long non-coding RNA, 809 nt
Organism: Colossoma macropomum (tambaqui)
Lineage: Eukaryota; Metazoa; Chordata; Actinopteri; Characiformes; Serrasalmidae
Exons: 4
Source: RefSeq, a predicted model, not a curated record